Taeniopygia guttata (zebra finch) is the source of this 896-nucleotide non-coding RNA. NCBI's taxonomy places the organism in Eukaryota, Metazoa, Chordata, Aves, Passeriformes, Estrildidae. The record is from RefSeq and is a predicted model, not a curated record.
CUCGGGAGCGGCCCCGGCUGCCUCGGGAACGGCCCCGGCUGCCUCGGGAGCGCCGCAGUGCUGCUUCCCAGCUGCGGACGUGCCGCGGGGCCGCAGGAGGCCGUGCCGCCCCAGCCUGGUUGGAAAUACAUGGUCCAAACCUGAGCAGACUGACUGCAGACAUUUUUGUUAACCUUAUGGACUUUGAUUCAGAAUCUGUGAUACAAGAGAAUCCACUGUGCAGGACCGGGGUGUAAUUCCAUCAAGGACUUCUGGUGACCUCAUAAACCAUAAGAGCUGGCACAGACUUUAAUGGGCACCACGUGGUUGAGUUCCCAUGCAUCAUUUUGAAAAUUAUCCUUGCAUGCUGCUUCCAAGUUAGAAGUUACACUGGGACUGAAGGACUCAUUCAGGAGAGGAUAAAACUAAUCCGUUCUGCAGCUGUGAACCAGAGAAGUCCCAGCAAGCUUCCCAGUAAAAUGAAAAAGUGAUGAGAAGAAGAAUAUAAAUGUUCUAGAAGAAUACAUGCUGAGGAUAGCUUUCAGCUGCUGUGCUCUUAACUUAAGCCAAGUGCCUUGGAAGUGCAGGUUCUCAGACGGAAAUGAACUGCUACCAACUGCCGUCCAUGUGAGUCAGCUUCAUCCAGGAUGAUUACCAUCAGAGAGAUUGUUCAGGAGCCAGCCGCAAGGGACCUGCAGCAGAGGUAACUCCACUUGGCACACUGGGAAUAGUUGGAUGUAUUUGAAUUUUCCCCUCCAGAAUACAUAGCACAGGAGACAGAACAUCCAUAAAAGCAACAUUUUUCCAACAUAUAGUAUAAAUGCUCUGCUAUUCUAAGGCCAAAAAGCAAUAAAAAAAUGGGAUAUCACCCAAGAAAAUAUUUGAGAGGCAAAUAGAACCUGGAAAAGAAAGAACAC